ACUCCUACGGGAGGCAGCAGUGGGGAAUAUUGCACAAUGGGCGCAAGCCUGAUGCAGCCAUGCCGCGUGUAUGAAGAAGGCCUUCGGGUUGUAAAGUACUUUCAGCAGUGAGGAAUGGUGGAGUUCAGUUAAUAGCGGCCAUCCAUUUGAUCGUUAGCUGCAGAAGAAGCACCGGCUAACUCCGUGCCAGCAGCCGCGGUAAUACGGAGGGUGCGAGCGUUAAUCGGAAUUACUGGGCGUAAAAGCGCAUGCAGGUGGUUUGUUAAGUCAGAUGUGAAAGCCCGGGGCUCAACCUCGGAA
RNAcentral lists this ribosomal RNA (300 nucleotides) under uncultured bacterium. RNAcentral's name for it is "bacterial SSU rRNA". It matches the Rfam family "Bacterial small subunit ribosomal RNA", at positions 335 to 620 of the family's 1533-position model. The record is from RNAcentral.